This 84-nucleotide transfer RNA is filed under the name Candidatus Woesearchaeota archaeon. RNAcentral describes it as "tRNA-Ser". It matches the Rfam family "tRNA". From Rfam's summary of the family: Transfer RNA (tRNA) molecules are approximately 80 nucleotides in length. Their secondary structure includes four short double-helical elements and three loops (D, anti-codon, and T loops). Lineage: Archaea; Nanobdellati; Candidatus Woesearchaeota. The record is from RNAcentral.
GCCACCGUGGCCCAACCUGGUACGGCGGUGGAUUGCUAAUCCACUUUCCUCACGGAUUUCCCGGUUCAAAUCCGGGCGGUGGCG